UCCCUCCAUCUUUCCUUUUCCUCCCACAACUUCAAACCCUAAAACCUAAUUUUUUUCUUCAAUCUCACUUUCUCUCAAUCUGAAACCUAUAGAUCUUCAUCACUCUCACACUCAAUCUCACUUUCCUUUAAUCUCACUCUUACCCUUGUUUUUGUCAAUUUCACCGGCGCUCACCCUCAAUCUCACUCUCACCCUCGGCUCCCUCAAUAUCACUCUCAAUCGACGAAGACUCAUCGUCAAUCUGACUCUCUCACUACCACCCUCGCCUAUCACCACCAAGUUUUUCGCGGUUUCGCGAUCUCAGUUCUGUGCAAUUGGGGUUCUUCGUGGGUUUCACCGUGGUUCAUAGUUCUUCAGCUCUCAUACUUCAGUUUAUCAAGGUAGUGCUUUUCACUCUUCAAGCACAAUUGAGAACGCGUCAUCCAAUAUAGGCUCUAAAGUUAUAAGGUACAACGAGAUAUUUGACGACAUCAUUUUGGCUAACGAUGUCGACUCACUUCUCAGUUUCGUUAUGGCAAGUGACAAGAUCAUGGAAUGAAAGAUUGUUCUAGAGGGCACGCGAGAAUGCAGCAGGGUGGGGAAAAGUAAAACUCCUAUUAUUAUGAAGAGAGCUGCAUAGUAACAAAGAGGGGGAUUCACGUUUUAUCACACAACAAGGAGCAGCAAGCACAUCACGUUUUGGAGAAUUGCGACGGGAGGCACAACAACAACAUAAAGAGGAUGAACCUUUGAGUGAAGCAUUCACCAUCCGGUUUAGUUUUUCUUCUAAGUUGUUUAUUCCUUUUGUAAUGAGUAGCUAAUUCUCUGUUGUUAUUAAUAUGAUUCAGUACUCAUAAUUAUUUUUGCUUAAUGCUUUUUUUAAUAUCGUGUGUAUCACUAUUAACA
RNAcentral lists this long non-coding RNA (885 nucleotides) under Medicago truncatula (barrel medic). RNAcentral's name for it is "lncRNA gene44556". The record is from RNAcentral. Lineage: Eukaryota; Viridiplantae; Streptophyta; Magnoliopsida; Fabales; Fabaceae.